AUUCUGCCCGUGCAGGGAAGGAUGAGAAGCUUCGACCAGGUUCGAUUCGAGCGCAGCGAGAAAGCGUUGCCGCAGGCAACGACCCGAAGGGUG
This 93-nucleotide small RNA is filed under the name Klebsiella sp. RLT01. Its description in RNAcentral is "Raoultella sp. RLT01 partial RtT sRNA". It matches the Rfam family "RtT RNA", at positions 1 to 93 of the family's 130-position model. From Rfam's summary of the family: This family represents a bacterial cis-regulatory element known as RtT RNA. The record is from RNAcentral. Lineage: Bacteria; Pseudomonadati; Pseudomonadota; Gammaproteobacteria; Enterobacterales; Enterobacteriaceae.